GAUCUUUCCAUCUUCUAGACAAAGAUGGGUUAAAUGAAUCAAUAAUUCUAUGAGGAAAAUGAUGAAAGAAGGAACCAGUUGAAGAAAUUGAUCUGUAAAGUAGAAAUGAAAAGGCUUCUCAAUCCACUCUAUAACAGGUGAAUGCUUCCCCCUUUCUGGUUAAUUAUUCUACUUUAAUCCAUUUGAAUUUAGGAAUUUUCU
RNAcentral lists this unclassified non-coding RNA (201 nucleotides) under Hevea brasiliensis (rubber tree). The record is from RNAcentral. Lineage: Eukaryota; Viridiplantae; Streptophyta; Magnoliopsida; Malpighiales; Euphorbiaceae.